This 96-nucleotide microRNA precursor is filed under the name Jatropha curcas. Lineage: Eukaryota; Viridiplantae; Streptophyta; Magnoliopsida; Malpighiales; Euphorbiaceae. The record is from RNAcentral.
AAAGCAUUGUGCAGCCAAGGAUGACUUGCCGGCUCUCUAUUUGUUUCUAUAUUACGAAGGAGUUGGCAAGUUGUUCUUGGCUACAUGUUUCUUUCU